This 400-nucleotide ribosomal RNA is filed under the name uncultured bacterium. RNAcentral describes it as "partial 16S ribosomal RNA". It matches the Rfam family "Bacterial small subunit ribosomal RNA", at positions 359 to 774 of the family's 1533-position model. The record is from RNAcentral.
GAAUAUUGCGCAAUGGGGGGAACCCUGCCGCAGCAACGCCGCGUGAGUGAAGAAGGUCUUCGGAUCGUAAAACUCUGUCAUAGGGGAAGAAGAGAUUACGGUACCCUAUGAGACAGCCACGGCUACCUACGUGCCAGCCGCCGCGGUAAUACGUAGGGGGCGAGCGUUGUUCGGAAUUACCGGGCGUAAAGGGUGCGUAGGCGGCCGCUUAAGUCAGAUGUGAAAUACCAUGGCUCAACCAUGGGGGUGCAUAUGAAACUGGUUGGCUUGAGUGCAGGAGAGGAAAGUGGAAUUCCUAGUGUAGCGGUGAAAUGCGUAGAGAUUAGGAGGAACACCAGUGGCGAAGGCGACUUUCUGGACUGUAACUGACGCUGAGGCACGAAAGCGUGGGGAGUAAACA